This 1185-nucleotide unclassified non-coding RNA is filed under the name Hevea brasiliensis (rubber tree). Lineage: Eukaryota; Viridiplantae; Streptophyta; Magnoliopsida; Malpighiales; Euphorbiaceae. The record is from RNAcentral.
UCGUGUAUGAAGCAAUGAUCGACCGUGACAAUACCACAAUAGUAUUUGUGAAGGGGCUCAAUCUACGGCCAGAUAGGCUGUACAACACAGCAAGAUUCGAGUGCGUGUACGGCUGGGAUCUCAGGAGGCCAAAGUUCUUAUUGAGAUCUAACGUCAUAUCGAUAGCCCAAGAGAUCGUACGGUGCCGAACGCCUUUUAGCAUAUUGAACAACCCACAGAAAGUAAACAAUUCCAUCAAGGUCUCAGUCAGAUUGAAAGGCAGAGGAACAUUACACUCUAUAGCCCGACCGGCGCUCCAAUUAAAUCGAGACUCAGACCCGACCGCCCGAAAGCCAUAUGAAAUGUGCAUAUGCACAAUGUUGCGCAACCAAGCGAGGUUCCUUGGGGAAUGGGUUAUGUACCAUGCUCAAAUUGGAGUCCAACGUUGGUUCAUUUACGAUAAUAAUAGCGAGGAUAAUAUUGAUAGUGUCAUAGCAUCGUUAGUGGAUAACAAUUUCAACAUUUCAAAACAUGUGUGGCCUUGGAUCAAGACCCAGGAGGCAGGACUCGCGCAUUGUGCAUUACGGGCACGCAGCUCUUGUAAAUGGGUUGGGUUCAUAGACGUAGACGAAUUUUUUCACUUGCCAACUGGACUGAAUUUGCUUGAUGUGCUUAGAAAUCAAUCCGAGUCUAGCAGUAGUGAUGUCGCAGAACUACGUGUAUCGUGCCAUAGUUUUGGACCAUCUGGGCUGGAACACAUGCCGGAGCAAGGCGUCACCGUAGGAUACACGUGCCGGAUGAUGGUGCCGGAAAGACACAAGAGUAUAGUGAAUCCCGAGGCAUUGAAUUCCACAUUGAUCAAUGUAGUGCACCAUUUUCAUUUGAGGGAUGGGUUCAGAUAUGUAAAUGCUGAUAGGGGAGUUUUGGUGAUUAAUCACUAUAAGUAUCAAGUAUGGGAGGUGUUCAAGGAGAAAUUUUACCGGAGGGUGGCUACUUAUGUGGCUGAUUGGCAGGAUGAACAGAAUGUUGGGUCCAAGGAUCGUGUCCCCGGGUUGGGGACUAGGGCCGUUGAGCCACCGNNNNNNNNNNNNGUGAGGUGACUGACACUGGACUUAGGGAUCGAGUGUUGGGAAAUUUCAGAAACCCAAUAACUAAACUUUUGCCAUGGCAGGAAGAUGGGGGAAUUUUGGAUGUGCAAAAUAUGGG